GAUGAACGCUGGCGGCGUGCCUAAUACAUGCAAGUCGAGCGAACAGAUGAGGAGCUUGCUCCUCUGACGUUAGCGGCGGACGGGUGAGUAACACGUGGAUAACCUACCUAUAAGACUGGGAUAACUACGGGAAACCGGAGCUAAUACCGGAUAAUAUAUUGAACCGCAUGGUUCAAUAGUGAAAGACGGUUUUGCUGUCACUUAUAGAUGGAUCCGCGCCGCAUUAGCUAGUUGGUAAGGUAACGGCUUACCAAGGCAACGAUGCGUAGCCGACCUGAGAGGGUGAUCGGCCACACUGGAACUGAGACACGGUCCAGACUCCUACGGGAGGCAGCAGUAGGAAAUCUUCCGCAAUGGGCGAAAGCCUGACGGAGCAACGCCGCGUGAGUGAUGAAGGUCUUCGGAUCGUAAAACUCUGUUAUUAGGGAAGAACAAAUGUGUAAGUAACUAUGCACGUCUUGACGGUACCUAAUCAGAAAGCCACGGCUAACUACGUG
Molecule: ribosomal RNA, 497 nt
Filed under: uncultured bacterium
Lineage: Bacteria
Description: partial 16S ribosomal RNA
Rfam family: Bacterial small subunit ribosomal RNA
Source: RNAcentral